RNAcentral lists this unclassified non-coding RNA (266 nucleotides) under fungal sp. RNAcentral's name for it is "partial internal transcribed spacer region". The stretch from base 1 to 46 matches the Rfam family "Eukaryotic small subunit ribosomal RNA", at positions 1786 to 1831 of the family's 1831-position model. The record is from RNAcentral. Lineage: Eukaryota; Fungi.
AAGUCGUAACAAGGUUUCCGUAGGUGAACCUGCGGAAGGAUCAUUAACACUGAAAUCAUUGGAUCACAACUUUUUUUUGAAGUUGUGUUCCACAUGUCUACCCACUCUUGGACGCACUCUUGAGACUGUGAAAAUCAGUCGCUUUUUUUCUCCCCAUUUUUAAACCCAACCCCACACCAAAAUACACAUAACCAAUGCCAAUGACUGAUAUCACCAGUUUGUUAUAAAUUGUAAAACAACUCUUAACAACGGAUAUCUUGGCUCUC